AGAGUUUGAUCCUGGCUCAGAACGAACGCUGGCGGCAUGCCUAACACAUGCAAGUCGAACGAGACCUUCGGGUCUAGUGGCGCACGGGUGCGUAACGCGUGGGAAUCUGCCCUUGGGUUCGGAAUAACAGCUAGAAAUGGCUGCUAAUACCGAAUAAUGACGUAAGUCCAAAGAUUUAUCGCCCAAGGAUGAGCCCGCGUAGGAUUAGCUAGUUGGUGAGGUAAAAGCUCACCAAGGCGACGAUCCUUAGCUGGUCUGAGAGGAUGAUCAGCCACACUGGGACUGAGACACGGCCCAGACUCCUACGGGAGGCAGCAGUGGGGAAUAUUGGACAAUGGGCGAAAGCCUGAUCCAGCAAUGCCGCGU
Molecule: ribosomal RNA, 366 nt
Filed under: uncultured bacterium
Lineage: Bacteria
Description: bacterial SSU rRNA
Rfam family: Bacterial small subunit ribosomal RNA
Source: RNAcentral